This 56-nucleotide ribosomal RNA is filed under the name Aspergillus niger. Its description in RNAcentral is "partial 28S ribosomal RNA". Lineage: Eukaryota; Fungi; Ascomycota; Eurotiomycetes; Eurotiales; Aspergillaceae. The record is from RNAcentral. RNAcentral also lists the same sequence under 1 other name.
GACCUCGGAUCAGGUAGGGAUACCCGCUGAACUUAAGCAUAUCAAUAAGCGGAGGG